RNAcentral lists this long non-coding RNA (3504 nucleotides) under Homo sapiens (human). Its description in RNAcentral is "HSALNT0111455". Lineage: Eukaryota; Metazoa; Chordata; Mammalia; Primates; Hominidae. The record is from RNAcentral.
GUUUAAAGACAAGAAGUUGACCAUUAAUCAUAUUGUCCCCUUGUAUGUGAUGAUUUGUUUUUCUCUUACUAGAUUUAAGAUUUUCUCUUGUCUUUGGUUUGGCUUCCAGUGGUUUGACCAUGAUGUGUCCAGGUGUGAAUGUCUUUGUAUUUAUUCUACUUAGAGUUUCUUGAGCUUCUGGAGUUUGUGAAAUGAUUUUUUAAAGUCAAAACUGGGGAAUUUUCAUCCAUUAUGUCAUUAAACAUUUUUCUUUCAUUUUUCUGGAGUCCCCUUCUGGGAUUCCAAUUACAUGUAUGUUGGUAUGCUUCAUGUUAUCCCACCAGUCUCUGAGGCACUGUGUAUUUUUCUUCUAUCUUUUCCUCUCUUUUUUCCACACUGAGUAAUUUCUAAUGAUCUAUCUUCAAUUUCACUGACUCUUCUGUGACCUCCUCUAGUACUUUUAUUUUUGCUAUUAUUUAUUGCAACUCAGAAUUUCCACUGGGUUCUUUUUUAAAAAAUAAUUUCUGCAUUUUAAGUGAGAUCAUCUAUUUGUUGAAUCAUUGUCAUUACACUGAUUUAGUCAUUCUUAAGCAUGGUUUUCUUUAGUUCUUUGAACAUAUUUAUAAUAGCUGCUUUGAAAUCUUUGUCCAAUAAUCUAAUUUCUGGAACCACUCAUAGUAUAUAUUUGCUUUUUUUUCCUGAGUAUGGGUCAGAUUUUGUUUCUUCAUGUCUCAUAACGUUUUUUGAAAACUUGACAUUUUAGAUAAUAUACUCUAGCAACUCUGGACUCUGAUUUCUUUUCCUGAGGCAGUUAUUAUUGUCUUUAUUUGCUUUCCCAGAGGUAAUCUGCAGAAUCUUUGCCUCCUGCAGUACAUGGCCACUAAUGUCUCUGCUCAGCUUUUUUGUUUUUAAGUCUUGUGUUUAACUUUCAGCCUGGCCUUCUAAGAGUAGUCCCUGUAGCUUAGUUUAGUGGUCAGCCAAUGAUUGGGCAGAGGCUGUGCUCAAACACCUUAAGCCUACAAGAUCCAUCCUCUGCUAAUGGAUCUGUGUGUGGGAUGAAGAAUACAUUUAAAGUUCACUCUGUUUUCAAGUCUGCCUAACUUUUACUUUUGUCAAGGCACUCGUGGCUUUCCCCUGUGCAUAUGCAUAGUUUCCUGGUCAUUCGGGGUCUGUGGAGAGAUUUCAUAGCAUUUCUUUUUUUUUUUUUUUUUUUUUUUUUUUUUGAGACGGAGUCUCGCUCUGUCGCCCAGGCCGGACUGCGGACUGCAGUGGCGCAAUCUCGGCUCACUGCAAGCUCCGCUUCCCGGGUUCAAGCAAUUCUCAUGCCUCAGCCUCCCGAGUAGCUGGGACUGCAGGCGCCUGCCACCAUGCCUGGCUAAUUUUUGUAUUUUUAGUAGAGACGGGGUUUCACCAUGUUGGCCAGGAUGGUCUCGAUCUCCUGACCUCAAGUGAUCCACCCACCUCGGCCUCCCAAACUAUUGGGAUUACAGGUGUGAGCCACCACGCCUGGCCAGUAAAUUUUCAAACUAAAAACUUCUUAAUUCCUUGUUUCCUUUUGGUUGAUUUCCAUAGCCCUGAAAUUGUUUUUCACAAUGUUGCCCAGUUUUGUGGUGAGAAUUUGUCAACCUCUUCACUCUGCAAUAGCCAACAGUCCCACCCUAUAUGUACUUUAUAAAUGCAACCGCACAGUAUAUCCUGUUUUCUACACUAAAAAAGUCUAUAUAUUCUAGAUUUUGUUUGAUUUACAGAUUUGAUAACUGGGCUUUUUUUUUUUUUUUUUUUUUUUUUUUUGAGACGGAGUCUCACUCUGUCACCUGGGCUAGAAUGCAGUGACUCGAUCUUGGCUCACUGCAACCUCCACCUCCCAGCUUCAAGCGAUUCUCCUGCCUCAGCCUCCCGAGUAGGUGGGAUUACAGGCGCCUGCCACUAUGCCCAGCUAAUUUUUUGUAUUUUUAGUAGAGACUGGGUUUCCCCAUGUUGGCCAGGUUGAUCUCGAAUUCCUGACCUCGUGAUUCGCCUGCUUCAGCCUCCCAAAGUGCUAGGAUUACAGGCAUGAGCCACCACGCCCAGCUGAUAACUAGGCUUUUUUUAGUUGAUUUUCUAAAUUCUCACAUUAAACUUUUGGGAUCAUUACCUCCUAUUAAAUAAAAUUUAUAGGAGGCCACUGAUUUGGACUAGGUUCCUGCACUAGACCCCAUCAGACCAAACCAAAAUGGAGUCACUCAUGCUAAAGUUUCAUAUCACCAAACUGAAACUAAGUUGUUUAUCUAACCUUCCAGAUAAAUCAGGGGAGAGAUAAUAGCCAAAUCCUCGAACAGGCCAGUUUUAGCCAGCAUAACAAGGAAAUCCCCCCCCCAGCUUUAACCCUUUCAAGGAAAACAACUUUGAAAUGAUCACUCCAUCUUUUAUUCUUUGAUUCUGCAUUCUUCAGCCUUUUCUUGUCUAUAAAUACUCACUGGCCACAUUGCAGAGCAGAGCUCUCUGAAUCUCUUCAGGUUGUGAGAGCUACCUGAUUCUUGAAUUAUUAUUUGCUCAAAUAAACUCUGUUAAAUUUAUUUUGUCUAAGGUUUUAUUUUAUUAGAUGUAUGGUCAAAAGCAAUGGUUCAAAGGAGAUCCACAUUGAUGAACUCCAGGAUUAACAAGCAAACAGACUGGCUACUCUGCUGAGUUACUUGUGCUCACUGCUUCUCUUUGCACAUUUGGAGGGUGUCACUGAAUACAAUUGGAAACAUUGGUUAUUUUACCAAGGCUUUGGCUGGAGCAUCAUAUUUGAAAAUGUGCAUAGACUACUGGGUUUUUUAGCCUUAUGAAAAGAAGGCCCAGAAACUUUAAAUAUAUUUUAAAGAUCUGAAGAAGAGAAGAAUUCAUCCAAACCUAUUGGCAUUACAGAACAAAAACUGCCCUUUUCCGGAAGCCCUGCAAGCUGAAGCUGGACAACUUAAUCUAGACUUAAAGAGAACUCACCACCACAGCUUACGUAUGGACAACUUUUGUGCCUGUUGCUGUGAGCUGCUCAGACAUCACUGGAAACAUUCAAACUGCAAAAGAUGCUUCAAAGUCAGAUGGACCCACCGGGACCAGCAACUCUUCCGUGGCUCCCACCCAGAAGCCAACUGAGUGCACCAGGACCAGCUUCCACACCCCGAUGGUUGCAUCCCCAACCAAUCAGCAGUACCAAUUCCCUAGUCCUCUGUCUGCCAAACUAUCCUUGCAAAACCCUAGCUUCCACAUUUUCGAGGAGGAUGAUUUGAGUAAUAAUAAAACUCCCAUCUCCCCUUUAGCCAGUUCUCUGUGUAUUAAACUCCUUCUCUUUUGCCAUUCCCCUGUCUUGAAAAAUCUGCUCUCUCUGGGUAGUAGGCAAGAUGAACACAUUGAGCAGUUACCUAAUGAUAAGAAUGUUCAUAUCUGUGCUGCCCAAAGUGGUAGCCAGUAGCCACAUGUGGCUGCUGAGUACUUGAAAUAUGAACAGUGUGGCUGAAGAACUUAGAACUGAGUUUUUAAUUUAAUUGUAAUGGCUAAUGUUUG